This is a transfer RNA of Ovis aries (sheep), 73 nucleotides long. It matches the Rfam family "tRNA". From Rfam's summary of the family: Transfer RNA (tRNA) molecules are approximately 80 nucleotides in length. The record is from Rfam. Lineage: Eukaryota; Metazoa; Chordata; Mammalia; Artiodactyla; Bovidae.
UCCCAGGUUGUCCAGUGGUUAGGACUCUGCACUUCCUCUGCAGGGGGCACUGGUUCAACCCCUGGUUUGGGAU